UCCAUGCCUUCUUCCCCAGCUGGAUCCUCCAGGGGCAGCAGCAGUUUCAAGUGUAAAGAUGUCACUUCUUCGCAGAAAAAGCCCAUGGUCCCACCUGGCCACUGCUGGCUGCCCUUCCAGCCAGGGAGGAAACCUGAAUACCCCACCAGAUCUGCUCAUCUUCUUCACGGAGUCAACAGGGUUUCCAGAUUACUUUUGAAGUGAAAAGCUCACAAGAAUCUUGGUGAAUUUUAGCACUUUCUGCAAUGUCAUUCCAGUGAAUAUCCAGUAUUAUCCUUAGGCAAUGGCUCACAAAGGAAUUCAGCAAAUCCCACUUGAGCUGUAAGACACAUUUAUCAAGACUGAAGUAAA
Vidua macroura (Pin-tailed whydah) is the source of this 351-nucleotide long non-coding RNA. RefSeq lists it as uncharacterized. NCBI's taxonomy places the organism in Eukaryota, Metazoa, Chordata, Aves, Passeriformes, Viduidae. The transcript has 3 exons. The record is from RefSeq and is a predicted model, not a curated record.